UGGUGUUUCAAGUGUUUGUAGUGUGUUGCUAUGGUUUUUCAAGUGUUUGUAUUGUGUCGCUAUGGAGUUUCAAGUGUUUGUAGUGUGUCGCUAUGGUGUUUCAAGUGUUUGUAGUGUGUCGCUAUGGUGUUUCAAGUGUUUGUAGUGUGUCGCUAUGGUGUUUCAAGUGUUUGUAGUGUGUCGCUAUGGUGUUCCAUAUGUUUGUAGUAUGUCGCUAUGGUGUUUCAAGUGUUUGUAUUGUGUCGCUAUGGAGUUUCAAGUGUUUGUAGUGUGUCGCUAUGGUGUUUCAAGUGUUUGUAGUGUGUCGCUGUGUUCUUUCAGGUGUUUGUAGUGUUGCUCUGGUGUUCCAUAUGUUUGUAGUGUGUCGCUAUGGUGUUUCAAGUGUGUUUGUAGUGUUGCUCUGGUGUUCCAUAUGUUUGUAUUGUGUCGCUAUGGUGUUUCAAGUGUUUGUAGUGUGUCGCUAUGGUGUUUCAAGUGUUUGUAUUGUGUCGCUAUGGUGUUUCAAGUGUUUGUAUUGUGUCGCUAUGGUGUUUCAAAUGUUUGUAGUGUGUCGCUAUGGUGUUUCAAGUGUUUGUAUUGUGUCGCUAUGGUGUUCCAUAUGUUUGUAGUCCGUUGCUAUGGUGUUUCACGUGUUUUUAGUCUUUUGCUAUGCUGUUGCUGUAGGGUAUCCUGUGUGGUUGCCAAGUCUUUGUGAUAUUCUGCUCAGCUGUCAAUCAUCUCUGUUUGAUGAGCACGUGAGCAGUAAACUGUUCAGUUCUGGAUGCAGUGAUGGUGCUCUGUGAGUUUGUAACGAUCCCCUCAGGACCUCAUUUCCUGCGGCUGCAUCUGAACGACUGUCAAACCAGAUCUCUGCAUGACAGUCACAGUAAAACCAGAGCUGGAAAUUAGCCACUAAUUAACAAGGUUCUAAUGAUGCUCUUUGAUGAGAGAAGGUUUUUUCUGAGCUAUUUUUAUACAAAUAAUUUUGCUUUUAUCUGUAGUCAUCACAGUUCUCAGGUAUGUUCUGGUGCUUUAAAGAACCUAGAAACAAAUACGCUAAUCUGAAAUAUUAGAUGCUUAUAGCUUCAAUAAGAUCCAUAUAAGUAAUGAA
Cyprinus carpio carpio is the source of this 1090-nucleotide long non-coding RNA. The record is from Ensembl. NCBI's taxonomy places the organism in Eukaryota, Metazoa, Chordata, Actinopteri, Cypriniformes, Cyprinidae.